AUUGAACGCUGGCGGCGUGCUUAACACAUGCAAGUCGAUCGGUAACAGGUGUAGCAAUACAUGCUGACGAGAGGCGGACGGGUGAGUAAUGCUUGGGAAUCUGCCUAUUAGUGGGGGACAACCCGGGGAAACUCGGGCUAAUACCGCAUACGCUCUACGGAGGAAAGCCGGGGACCGCAAGGCCUGGCGCUAAUAGAUGAGCCCAAGUCGGAUUAGCUAGUUGGUAGGGUAACGGCCUACCAAGGCGACAAUCCGUAGCUGGUCUGAGAGGACGACCAGCCACACCGGAACUGAGACACGGUCCGGACUCCUACGGGAGGCAGCAGUGGGGAAUAUUGGACAAUGGGGGCAACCCUGAUCCAGCGACGCCGCGUGGGUGAAGAAGGCCUGCGGGUUGUAAAGCCCUUUCGGUGGGGAAGAAAAGUCUCGACCUAAUACGUCGGGACCUUGACGUAACCCACUAAAGAAGCA
Molecule: ribosomal RNA, 471 nt
Filed under: uncultured bacterium
Lineage: Bacteria
Description: bacterial SSU rRNA
Rfam family: Bacterial small subunit ribosomal RNA
Source: RNAcentral